GCCAGUGUGGUUUAGAGGCCUGAAUGCUGGUCUAGGACUCUGGAGAGACCUGGGUUCGAAUCCCAGCUCGGCCA
Non-coding RNA from Phrynosoma platyrhinos (Desert horned lizard), 74 nucleotides. Lineage: Eukaryota; Metazoa; Chordata; Lepidosauria; Squamata; Phrynosomatidae. The record is from the annotation of a GenBank genome assembly.